GUUUCAGGUUUUUAUUUAUUUGUUGUUGUUGACUAACUGUUUAUAUCCCUUAGAUCUUACAUUCAAUUAUCUUUUAUUUUAGAAGAGGAGUAGGAAUUACUGUAUUGGUCCUUUGAAAUAUCUAAUAGUAUGAAGGGUGCUUUUCCCAACAAUUUUUUUGUAUUGAGAAUUUUUAGACCUACCAAUAGAUUUGAGAGAAUUAUACCUUGAACAAUUAAACAUUCUUCAUCUAGAUUUUGUAAUCAUUAGCAACUUGUUUCCUUAUAUAUAUUUAUACAUGUAUAAAUGUAUAUGUAUAAAUAUACAUAUUUACACAUUUAUAUAUGUAUAUGUAGAUGGAUGUGUCACUCCCACAUACUUUAUUAUGCCUCUCGUAAGGAUAAGGACAGACUCCUAUAUAACCUAAACCUAAUAUCACAUCUAAGAAACCUAACAAUUCUGUAAUAUUACCAAAUGUCCCAACUGUAUAAGUGAGUGUGUAUGACUUAUAUACAGGAACGUAUACCAUUAUUUUUUGUUCUUUUUUUUUUUAAGAGAGAGAAUAUCUUUUGUAGAUGGACAUAACAUAAUGCCUUUAUUUUUAUGUGGUGCUGAGAAUCGAACCCGGGUCCCGCCCUUGCUAGCGAGCGCUCUACCGCUGAGCCACAAUCCCAGCCCCUUUUUUAUUCUUUAUAUGGUGUUAUUUAACUUGAUGCUGUAUUUUCAUUGUAGUGACUAUUAUAUAUUCCUAAGAGUUAACAAUCAGAACCAUUUGAUUUAUGGUUCAAAAGAAUGAAACAAAUAUUUUCAUGAUUAUAUCAGAAGCUGUUCUCAUAAAUGAACAUUGUUAACCUUAAAUUAUUUGUAUAUGCUGUAUAAUAGACUCUAACCUUAGGCCAUUGACAUUACUGUAGCUCAUUAUAGUUGUUUUUCUGUUCUUUAUUUUCAGUUGUGUUCAGAGUAACUGAAGAAAGUUUGUUUUUCCCCCCUCUCCAAAACAGCUCCUCCCUUUCAUUCAAGCCUAAAUCAUUUUUUUUUCUCAGCUCAUUCACCCACUGGACUUACUCUAGCUGAAUUUUGUGUAAUUUUAGAAGUACAGUCAGCAACUAUAGGGCUAUAUUUUUGGAUACAUAAGUUUUGGAAUGUUAAUCUUAAAACUUAUCUAUAAUUAUACCUUCUGUUAAGAAGGGAGGGAAAGUUUUUUCUUUUUAAAAGUUCUAAUUGUGACUUAAUUUUCUGCAAGUUGGUUACCAAAUUGAAAGCAAGCUGAGUAAAAU
Molecule: long non-coding RNA, 1256 nt
Filed under: Marmota monax (woodchuck)
Lineage: Eukaryota; Metazoa; Chordata; Mammalia; Rodentia; Sciuridae
Source: RNAcentral